This 337-nucleotide unclassified non-coding RNA is filed under the name soil metagenome. Its description in RNAcentral is "partial contains 5.8S ribosomal RNA, internal transcribed spacer 2, and large subunit ribosomal RNA". The stretch from base 1 to 120 matches the Rfam family "5.8S ribosomal RNA", at positions 35 to 154 of the family's 154-position model. The record is from RNAcentral.
GAUGAAGAACGCAGCGAAAUGCGAUAAGUAAUGUGAAUUGCAGAAUUCAGUGAAUCAUCGAAUCUUUGAACGCACAUUGCACCCGCCAGUAUUCUGGCGGGCAUGCCUGUUCGAGCGUCAUUUCAACCAUCAAGCCCCCCGGCUUGUGUUGGGGACCUGCGGCUGCCGCAGGCCCUGAAAAGCAGUGGCGGGCUCGCUGUCACACCGAGCGUAGUAGAUCUCAUCUCGCUCAGGGCGUGCUGCGGGUUCCGGCCGUUAAACCACCUUCAUAACCCAAGGUUGACCUCGGAUCAGGUAGGAAGACCCGCUGAACUUAAGCAUAUCAAUAAGCGGAGGA